AUAAUACUCCAUAGAUUAGAGAUACUGGAAUGUUCUUUAGUCAAAAGUUCCGGCGCCCUGGGAUGGAUCUGCGGCCGAUUAGGUUGUUGUUGGGGUAAUGGCCCAACAAGCCAGUAAUCGGUACGGGUUGUGGGAGCAAGAGCCCGGAGUUGGAUUCUGAGACACGAAUCCAGGCCCUACGGGGCGCAGCAGGCGCGAAAACUUUACAAUGCGGGCAACCGUGAUAAGGGAACCUCGAGUGCCUGUAAAUGCAGGCUGUUCAGAUGCCUAAAACACAUCUGGAGAAAGGGCCGGGCAAGACCGGUGCCAGCCGCCGCGGUAAUACCGGCGGCUCGAGUGGUGGCCACUUUUAUUGGGCUUAAAGCGUUCGUAGCUGGGUUGUUAAGUCUCUUGGGAAAUCUGGCGGCUUAACCGUCAGGCGUCUAAGGGAUACUGGCAAUCUUGGAACCGGGAGAGGUGAGGGGUACUUCGGGGGUAGGAGUGAAAUCCUGUAAUCUUCGAGGGACCACCUGUGGCGAAGGCGCCUCACCAGAACGGCUUCGACAGUGAGGGACGAAAGCUGGGGGAGCAAACCGGAUUAGAUACCCGGGUAGUCCCAGCCGUAAACUAUGCGCGUUAGGUGU
This 623-nucleotide ribosomal RNA is filed under the name uncultured archaeon. RNAcentral's name for it is "bacterial SSU rRNA". It matches the Rfam family "Archaeal small subunit ribosomal RNA", at positions 146 to 774 of the family's 1478-position model. The record is from RNAcentral.